AGCAGUAGCCGCGGGAAUACGUAGGUCCCGAGCGUUGUCCGGAUUUAUUGGGCGUAAAGCGAGCGCAGGCGGUUAGAUAAGUCUGAAGUUAAAGGCUGUGGCUUAACCAUAGUACGCUUUGGAAACUGUUUAACUUGAGUGCAAGAGGGGAGAGUGGAAUUCCAUGUGUAGCGGUGAAAUGCGUAGAUAUAUGGAGGAACACCGGUGGCGAAAGCGGCUCUCUGGCCUGUGACUGACACUGAGGCGCGAAAGCGUGGGGAGCAAACAGGAUUAGAUACCCCAGUAGUCCCUGUCUCUUAUACA
This 303-nucleotide ribosomal RNA is filed under the name uncultured bacterium. RNAcentral's name for it is "partial 16S ribosomal RNA". It matches the Rfam family "Bacterial small subunit ribosomal RNA", at positions 507 to 808 of the family's 1533-position model. The record is from RNAcentral.